RNAcentral lists this ribosomal RNA (253 nucleotides) under uncultured bacterium. RNAcentral's name for it is "partial 16S ribosomal RNA". It matches the Rfam family "Bacterial small subunit ribosomal RNA", at positions 524 to 776 of the family's 1533-position model. The record is from RNAcentral.
UACGUAGGUGGCAAGCGUUAAUCGGAAUUACUGGGCGUAAAGCGUGCGCAGGCGGUUAUGCAAGACAGAUGUGAAAUCCCCGGGCUCAACCUGGGAACUGCAUUUGUGACUGCAUAGCUAGAGUGCGGCAGAGGGAGAUGGAAUUCCGCGUGUAGCAGUGAAAUGCGUAGAGAUCCGGAGGAACACCGAAGGCGAAGGCAGUGUCCUGGGGAGUACCUGACGCUCAGGUGCGAAAGCCAGGGGAGCGAACGGG